UGGGUCAUAAAGCCAUCUUCCCAUAGAAUGUAUCGUUCUAUGAUCCUACCUGCCUGGUAUAUUGGGUCAUAAAGCUGUAUCAAUACAGUUGUAUUCAUUGGGUCCUUGUCAACAGCCUCUAAUUUGACUGCACCUGCAGAUGCUCCACUAUAGAAAUACAAAACAAAGCCUCAGCAGCACGUUGUAGGAGUGAUGAACAUCACCCAGUAGUGUCAGUACUGGGAAACAUCUGCUCCCAUUACUGCUGAUCAUUCAUCCAGAUCUCUCUGAAGAACAGAGCAGCACUAGUCUAGGCCUGUCAUGAUACCAAGCAGGUCUACUAAAUGGAACUCUUAUUCCCUACAUAGUGCACUACUUUAGACCAGAACCCUAUGGUUCAUAGUGCACCCAUAGUGCACUACACAGGGAAUAAGUGCCAUUUGUGUCUCCUUCUCUAUACAGGUCAACACAGGGCCCUUCUCUAUACAGGUCAACACAGGGCCUUCUCUAUACAGGGCCUUCUCUAUACAGGGCCUUCUCUAUACAGGGCCUUCUCUAUACAGGGCCUUCUCUAUACAGGUCAACACAGGGCCUUCUCUAUACAGGGCCUUCUCUACAGGUCAACACAGGGCCUUCUCUAUACAGGUCAACACAGGGCCCUUCUCUAUACAGGUCAACACAGGGCCUUCUCUAUACAGGGCCUUCUCUAUACAGGUCAACACAGGGCCUUCUCUAUACAGGUCAACACAGGGCCCUCUCUAUACAGGUCAACACAGGGCCCUUCUCUAUACAGGUCAACACAGGGCCCUUCUCUAUACAGGUCAACACAGGGCCUUCUCUAUACAGGUCAACACAGGGCCUUCUCUAUACAGGUCAACACAGGGCCCUUCUCUAUACAGGUCAACACAGGGCCCUUCUCUAUACAGGUCAACACAGGGCCUUCUCUAUACAGGUCAACACAGGGCCCUCUCUAUACAGGUCAACACAGGGCCCUUCUCUAUACAGGUCAACACAGGG
Oncorhynchus tshawytscha (Chinook salmon) is the source of this 996-nucleotide long non-coding RNA. Lineage: Eukaryota; Metazoa; Chordata; Actinopteri; Salmoniformes; Salmonidae. The record is from Ensembl.